CACCGCGGUUAUACGAGAGACCCAAGUUGAUAAGCCCGGCGUAAAGAGUGGUUAUGGACAUUACGAAACUAAAGCUAAAGACCCCCUAGGCUGUUAUACGCACCUGGCGGCUCGAACCACUAACACGAAAGUAGCUUUACCUCCCUCCUACCAGAACCCACGACAGCUGGGGCA
Molecule: ribosomal RNA, 174 nt
Filed under: Clupanodon thrissa (Chinese gizzard shad)
Lineage: Eukaryota; Metazoa; Chordata; Actinopteri; Clupeiformes; Clupeidae
Description: partial 12S rRNA
Source: RNAcentral